Molecule: long non-coding RNA, 351 nt
Organism: Hibiscus syriacus
Lineage: Eukaryota; Viridiplantae; Streptophyta; Magnoliopsida; Malvales; Malvaceae
Exons: 3
Source: RefSeq, a predicted model, not a curated record
UUUGCAUCCUCAAAGUUGAUGUUCAUUGUUUACCAGAUCUUGUUCUUGCAUAUCGGUGGACUUGAAGGCCCGCCAACUUUUGUGGGGAACUUAAGAGGAGCGGCUAGUCUUUCAAUUUUUAUGAAAAGUGGAAUGGUCAUUUGGUUCGGAGAUGAUGUAGGUCAAUACUGGACAUUCCUGUUCAAAUGAGAAACAACUGUUGGAUUGUCGAAAAUCUGCUGAUAAAGGGAAAAAGCCUGCGGAAAAAGACGCAGGCGGUCUGCAUUUGUAAAUCAUGCUGCAAUCACUUGGCACGAGAACAGGAAAAGGUGGACAGGGGAUAAAUCUCAACAAUCGCGAACUACCUGCAAG